UCCCUACCUGUCCACAGCUGCCACCUCUGAGCUGCUGUCCCUGUCACCAGGGCUGGCCUCGGUCCAUGCUGCCUGAGGAGACAUCCUGGGGUCACUGUGGGAGAGAGGGAAAUGGUAGAUAAGGUGGAUGGUGGUGGAUGGUGGUGAUGCCCAGAUCUGCUCCUGAUGGAUGGAGCUAACUCCUGUGCCUCCAGCCCUCUUAAUCUUGCUGUCAACCUGGAAAAAGAUACAGCUCACCUCCUGGAGAGCUCACCUUGACCAUGUGAGCUGAUUUUUGGGUUUGGCUCAUGCUGAGGGUCUGUGAAAUCAGCACAGGGCAGAGGAUUCAGCCAGGGGAAGAGGCUGAUCAGGCAGCCAUGGCUUCUCUGUGCAGACACUUCGUGCAUUCAGCCACUGGUUCCUCAGGAGCAGAAUGGAAAAUGAAGGUGGGAUUAAGAGAUUUACCUGAGACCUCUGGAGCCUCCUUUUCCCUUGUUUUACCUGCUAAGUAUCUCUGCUUCCCUGCCUUGCAGACAGCAGCUUCUUUUCCUUCAGAGGGGUUCCAGGCUGGGAAUAUUCACAGCCCUGUGUUAUCUGGUAUCAGCAAAGAGAUGGGAACAUCUUGGACUGAAAUCACUUGAUUUAUUGUUCCUGGUCCUUUGAGCAGCUCAGAGUAUGAUGGGAUGGGAUCUUCUCAUUUCCUGCCACUUUUAGUGGGAUUGGAGUGAAGAGGGUCACAAGAGUUUGAGGAUCAUGAGAACUGCAGUGGGAGAUUUAUCCUUGGGAAGGGAAGGAUUCAGAGGGAUCUAAGGGGCUGUGCAGUACCUGUGAGGAGGGGUUCGAGAAGACAGGCAGACUCUUCAGAGCAGUGUAUGGCGAGAGGAGGAGACACAACAGGUAUGAGGUAAGUUAAGAGAAGCUCAGACUGGGGAUAGAGACACCCUUUUUUCCAUGAAGGCAGCCAGGCAUCAGCAGCUUGCCCAGGAAAGCUGUGCUGUCUCCAUCUUCUGAGGUUUUCAAGCCCCGAUGGACAAUGAGGUCUUGAAGUUGACCUUGCUUUGAGCAGAAAGUUGAACUGGAGACCUCCUGAGGUCCCCUGUGACCUGGGAAAUUCUGCCACUUUGUGUUGAGGUCAGCAUCCCAGGGCUGCUCCACCACCUCACACAAUGAACUCCAAAGCAGUUUUGGGGUUCCUGUAGGCUGGAAGAAGGUGGCUGAACAUGUCUAAAGCUAUGGAUCACCAUGCACUGCCUUCAUAGAAUCAUAUAAUAAAAUCCUGGAAUGGUUUGGGUUGGAAGGGACCUUAAAGCUCUUCUCAUUCCAACUCCCUGCCAUGGGCAGGGACAUCCUCCACUAGACCAGGUUGCUCAGAGCUCCCCCUGCUCUGCACCAGGACAUGGGAUCUGAUGGAGCCCAUACCCCACCCAUGGCAUCUCCUGGGCACGGGUCCCAUCCCGGGAUCGUCCCAGGUAUCAGGCGAAGAACAAGGACAGUCACAAGGUCUGGCAGCUGCCCAGCGGUACCUGAGCCAAAGGGACCCAGUGGGAUGGCCAGAGAUGCACUGCUGCCGUCUCCUGCAGUGCUGCAGGCCAGUCGGGAGCACUCGGGGCCUCAGGGGAGCAGAGGGGGGCGCUGGGGGUUGAGUCAGGGCCUCUGAGCUCAGACUUGUAAAAAACCUGCAGACCACGGGGCUGAUGUGCAGCACAGCCACAGCUCCUCCCUCCGUGUUUGCUGUGACCUCUUUGCAAGGCAGCUUUUGGCUCUGAGGUUCACAUCCUCUCCAGAUCUGCUGGCUAUGGCAAAACGAAAUUGGCUCUGCACAAACUCCCCAGCUCCACAUGCACUUCCCACAGAGGAGACAGGGAGGGCUAAAAUUGCAGCGUGCUGCUUGUUCCAGCCAGCAAGGCAAGCCUCACCUGGGGAUGCUCAGGGUUCCUUCUGCUUGUGCAGCUCCUCCCUUCUAGCUCAGCUCCCCCUCCCAGCUCAGCUCCCCCUCCCAGCUCAGCUCCCCUUCGGGAUGUACGCUGCUUUGAGUGGGGAGUGCCAGUUCUUUAGCAACUCGACGUCCAGAAAAACCUGCAGUCACAAAACUAAAUAUAGCCAGGAGAGGCCAUGAAUAUGGUGACGCAGUCUGGAAGUGGUUCCUGGCUGUUCUCCAGCAGCUGGGAGCAAGGCAUGUGGCUUUGGCUUCUUAGGGGCAGGGGUGUGCAGGGGGAAUGGGGCCAGGCUUGGCAGCACGGUGGGCUCAAGGGGGACUCCAUCCUCCUGUGGCUGCCAGCACAGGCUGCUGGGGUGAGGCAGCAGAAGUGGUGCCACUUGUGCUGUUUGGGGCUGGGAAGGAGCUUCAGUGGUACAGAGACCUGGUCCAGGAUUCACUCAGCUGGAACUCCCUGGAAGGAUGGGACUUGGAGACUUGGGACAUUUCCCACUGUGGCUGGGGACCUCCUUUAGCCCUUAAACAACAGUGCUGGCACUCCUGUGAGGGGCACAGGCAAGGCUGUGGUCUCACCCCUGGUUUCCUCCAGCCUGAGGACUGUAGGGCUGCAAGACCUCAUCAGAAGGGAUGCACAAACCAUCAGCACCACUGGUGGCUCCAUCAGGACCAAACCAGGAGGAGCAGAGCACAGCAAGGGGCCAGGGAACCUCAGCCCCCCACCCUGCACACUGCAGGGAAGGCAGCUGGCAAAGCACUAGGGACCUCAGGCUGGACACCACGCUCAGCCAGGGCUCCCUCCUGCACAGGGAGGUAAAGCUGGCUCUGGCUGGGAGCUGGAAUGAAGUCACUGGGGACUGACACCUCGCUGGGUGCCACACUUGUGCUGAAACACCCCGGGGGUCAGGCUUGGCCACCUCUGCUUCACUGGCAGCUGCUGAGAACACGCCAGGCUGGACCAUGGCACUGUGUGUCCUUCCUCUCAUCCCCGUGGCAGUAAGAGCUCUCCAAAGAGGAAAUAAAGUGCAGGAAGGGACAUUCCAAUCUGGCCUCCAACCUGGCCCUCAGAACCUCCCUGCUGCAGGGACUGGGUCCCAUGCUGCAUGGAUCUCUGUGUCUGUAGCUCUGGAAUGGCUCUUCCUCCUCGCUCACAGUGAGAUGCUGCUGCCCCCGAGCCCAGGAAGCUCCAGGGCUGGUCAUGCCAUGUGGGACUGCAGGGCUCUGGCCAGGACAUGCUGGGGCCCUGCUCAUCACCCAGAGCCACAUUCAGUGCCUGGCUGAUGAGUGGGAACCUCAGAAAUCCAUUUCCAGGAUGAAUUGUGGUCAAACUGACAGGACUCUGCCCACCGAGAUUUUGGGGUGUGCCUGAGGGUGCUCCCCCUGGUCAGACCCUCAGUGUGCUCUCCAAAGAGGGAAAUCUGCCCUCAACCCUUGCUGCAACGUGUCCUCAUGGAGGGGAUCUUGCAGAGAGCCAGGUCCUGUGCCAAGGGAAAGGCAGGACUGGCAGAGCUGGUCCUCACAUCCAGAGUGUGUGAGAGCUGCAGUCAUCACCCCAUCAUGUCUGGGUGUCCAACCUUGUCUGCAGUGGCUUUCCUUGGACAAUCUUUGCCACGCUAACAGCCUGAUUUAAACUCUGGAAGUUAAUAAUGGGGAGCCAGAAUCAGCUUCUGCUCUGCCUCACUGUUUCUCUGAAUGAUUCUCGUGCUCAAAAAUCCUAGGCAAGGCUGGGGAGGAGAGCAAGAAACAUCUGCCACUGUCCUGGGUAGUUCAUUGUGUGGACAACCCUGGAAAGCAAGGCUGGGUUUAAUGCACCCACAGAGCUUGCCACAUCCCAUUCCCUGACUGCAGCAACAGCCAUGGUCCUCCUCACUGAUGUUGGGAUGUUUAUGAUCAACAUUUUGGGAAAAAGCAUGGGAGGGGUGGGUGACCUGCACCUGGCCAUGGUGACAGAACUGCUCACCCUCUCCCAAACCCUGUCCCAGGUGUCCCCACCACUCUGCUGGAUUCUGGUUUCCCCCUUCCCUGGCCAUGCUGAGAUGCAGAGCCAGCCUCCUGUACAUCAGAAUAUUAAUCUGUAGGUUUCAGAGAGCUGAAGGAGCAGAGAGAGCCCCAGCGGGAGCGCUGGGAAGCAGACGGCGCUGCUGCAUGGGGAUCUAUGCCCAAAUGCUCCAUAUCAUAUCAUACAGCAUAUGUCUAGAGACAGGCCAGCAAAUUCAGACCUGAAAAUGUGUCUAAUUGCCAGGCAGGACGUUGAGACUGAAAGAGCUUCAAAGGAAACACAAUUCCCAUGUGUUGAGAGCAGCGUGGUGGUUCUCCAGGAGCUCACUUUAUUGGGACAGGCCCUCCCCUUGCACGUUACUUCAGUCCUAGCAGAGCCUGAAGGUCAAACCUGGCUCACUCACUUGCACCACUUCAGUAUUUGCUGCUUUGGCUUAAAACUAGAGCUUGCUGGUCUUAGCACAAUGCACAGUACCACAGAAUCAUGGAAUAUCCUGAGCUGGGAGGAGCCAGAAGGACUUUUGAGUCCAUCUCCUGGCCCUGCACAGGACAGCCUCUGAAUCAGUCACACCAUGCUUCUCACAUGUUUCCAUCUCUUUUUCCAUACAGCUCUUUUUCCUUUUUCCUACUCUCUCCAGCUCAGUUUUCCCAGCCAUUGCCCAGAAACUGCCCUGGAACAGUGGAAAAUGCUAUUGCCACAGAUUUUACUGUGGUCAAUGGCACGUGGCCUGGAGCUUAAAGGGAGUGCCCCCAGUGACAGUGACAGAUUCCCUGGGGAGCCAAGGCUCUGCCCUCCCUGGUUCCCAGCACAGGCCCUCAGGCAGCAGUGCCACCACCCUCUGCUGUCACACACUCCUGUCCCUGUGGUGGGCACCACCUCAAGCGCAGCCAAGCCUGCAAGCAGCUUGGGGGUGGCAUUUGGUGGCCUGAGUGGCUUGUAUGGGCUUCAGAAGUGACCUGAAUCGUGGUGUGACCUGUCCAGGGGGUGCCGGGCUGGGUGCUGUCUCUCUGGUAACACAGGCACCCUCACAGGGCUCCUGCCAGCUCCGGGCUGGCACCAGCAGCAGAGCGAUGCCUGGGCAUGCCCCAGCCCGGGAGUCAGGUCAGUCUGGGCAAGGUCAGUCCCAGUACGAGAGGGAAACCUCAUCCCAGCUUCCCUCUGCACCUCCCACCCUCGUUUCUCUGUCGGAUCUCCUCUCCCAUCCCACCCUAAGCCCUCCUGGCAUUCCUGCAGCAUCACCUGCCCGGUCCCAGGCUCGCAUCCCUCACUUCAGCACAGUGAGGAGCCUUGGGGCUGUCCCUCGCUCCCUCCUCCUCUUUCAGGAGCCAGGUGAAACCCAGUAGUUUUUAGGAUCUGUGUUGGCAGAGAAGAGCGAGCAGAUGGUGCCCUAAAAUCCCCGCGCCCCGAAGAGUGAGCUAGUGAUCAUUUGUGAAGCUCUCGAGAUCUAUUUUUUUCCCAGACCCCGCUGAGCCUGGCGAGGACUGUAAUUGCAGCCUGGGCUGGCUGGAGAGGGCAAUACCCGGAUGGGCUCCUCGCCUUUCAGGCUGUAAUUGGGCCCUGGCGAUACAAAGCACAAAGCUCCUUUCCUUCCUGUUCGCCGGGCUCCCUCCGUGAAACCUUCCCCUGCCUGUGCUGGAAAAUAUGUAAAUACCAGGGCAUGGGAGAAUUGCUCCCUCGUGCCUGCGUCACGUCUGAAAUACCCAUUAAAAAUAUAUGUUCCAAAAA
This is a long non-coding RNA of Prinia subflava (tawny-flanked prinia), 5636 nucleotides long. RefSeq lists it as uncharacterized. The transcript is spliced from 2 exons. NCBI's taxonomy places the organism in Eukaryota, Metazoa, Chordata, Aves, Passeriformes, Cisticolidae. The record is from RefSeq and is a predicted model, not a curated record.